This is an RNA transcript of Amborella trichopoda, 2243 nucleotides long. It is a transcript of the gene named phosphate transporter 4;5, with no coding region annotated. Lineage: Eukaryota; Viridiplantae; Streptophyta; Magnoliopsida; Amborellales; Amborellaceae. The record is from RefSeq and is a predicted model, not a curated record.
UUUCCCGUGGCUCUCUGCUGUCCUCUCAAAAUUCCCCCCCCUCUAAAUUUGUCUCUCUUUUCCCUCAUCUGAACUCCUUCAACUCAUAAAAAUGGCGUCAAUUUUCUCUCUCAAAUCAAAUAAAGUCAUUUCUUCUCCUCUUUCAACGCCCCCCAGUACCAGUAGUCACACUACUGUCUAUCCCCGCUUCUUGUUUGAACCCUGCAACUCUUCUUCAGGGAAAUGGUUGGGAAUUAGGGCUUCAAGACGUAGAGUUUCAAGAAUUGGGGUUUCAGGUAAGGAAGGAGCGAGGGAGAUUGUGGACGCAGAACAAAUCAGGGUUCCUACUGCUUUUAGAGACUCUGAAGAGUUUCAGGCAACUUAUUUGAGCUCAAAGAACGAGGAUGAGAAGAGUAGUUUUGAGGGUUUGGAUGUCUGGAAAUGGCCGCCAUGGAAGAAUUUGCCUAAGCGAUACAAGCUCAUUGGGGCUACUUCUCUUGCUUUUGUCAUCUGUAACAUGGAUAAGGUGAACUUAAGUGUUGCAAUUAUCCCUAUGUCACAUCAAUUUGGGUGGAAUUCCUCAGUGGCUGGAUUGGUGCAAUCUUCUUUCUUUUGGGGAUAUGCUUUGAGUCAACUACCUGGUGGAUGGCUUGCAAAGCUUUUUGGUGGAAGGAAGGUUCUUGAGGUUGGAGUCUUGGCUUGGUCUCUAGCUACUAUACUAGUACCUUUGGUUGCAGGAUUUAUGCCUGGACUUAUUUUGUCGAGGGUUCUGGUUGGCAUAGGAGAAGGUGUCUCUCCUUCAGCUGCAACAGACCUCAUUGCGAGGUCAGUGCCGUUACAGGAGCGCUCCAGAGCAGUGUCAUUUGUUUUUGCGGGAUUGAGCAUUGGAAGUGUUGUAGGGCUAUUAGUGGCACCUCAGUUUAUCCAAAACUUCGGUUGGGAAUCUGUCUUUUACACUUUUGGAGUUCUUGGAAUUCUUUGGUGUUUGGGCUUGCAGCUUGCCUUGGAUGAAGGGCAGUCCAUUUUCCCUGAUGCAUACUUGCUCUUAGGAAAGUCUUGGGAUGCUUCUAGCAACACAUUGACAGCUCUUCCUGGUAAACAGUCAUUGGCCACUUCUAUGAGGGAAUUGGGUUCAUCGCUUAAGGACGUACCAUGGAAGGCAUUUUUCAAAAGCCCAGCUGUAUGGGCUAUGAUAUAUGUACACUUUUGUGGGAGUUGGGGCCACUAUACUUGUCUCUCCUGGCUCCCUACUUAUUUUAGUGAGGAGUUGGAUUUGAAUUUGACAGAAGCAGCAUGGGUAUCGGUCCUUCCUCCUUUAGCUUCAAUUAUUGUGACCAGCAUUGCAGCACCAUUUGCAGACAACUUGAUCUCUAACGGAGUUGAAACAACUACAGUAAGAAAAAUUUGUCAAACCAUUGCCUUCUUGUCCCCUGCCUUGUCUAUGACUCUUGCCUCUUCAGAUUUAGGCUUGCCUCCUUGGGAAAUUGUUGCAUGCCUAACCACUGGUUUAGCCCUCUCAAGUUUUGCCCUAUCAGGAUUAUAUUGUACCCAUCAAGAUAUUUCUCCAAACUAUGCAAGUAUACUUUUGGGUAUUACUAACACAGUUGGAGCAGUGCCAGGAAUCAUUGGUGUUGCCCUCACUGGUUAUCUUCUAGAUCUUACGCAGUCAUGGAGUUUGGCACUGUUUGCACCAUCCAUCUUUUUCUACUUGACUGGUACAGUUGUUUGGUUAGUUUUUGCCAGCAGCAAACCUCAAAGCUUUUCCCAUGAAGAUUGAGCUUCACAGGAUCCCUAGAUUUUAUGUUUGGGAUUUAGCUUAGUACCAAAUUCAACUUAUUCUUUUGGGAGAGGGAAUAUGUCAACAUGUAUUGAUCAUUCUAAUAGUUUUAGUACUUCUAUGGCAGUGAACCACCUGCCUUUAAGCAGCGUCAUUCUUUUGAUACACUUACAGAAUGACUUAUCUGCGUUCUCUCAUACGAGCCUUCUCCAAGACACCCCCAAAAGCUUUAGCUUCUCCACUAGCUAUGCAUUUGGUUUUUGUAACUUUUGUUAUAUGCAAUUUUCCUCAAGUGGACAGGCUUUUGGAUUAUAUCCAUGUAAAGGAUUGUGAACUGGAUCUGCCCAUGCAAAUCCUCACGACCAUGGCACGCUAAAUAUAUAGCAUGUGUAGAACAUGCAUCCUGGGGCAUGUAUAAGAGGCAUGUGCACAAACACAAUGGAAAACGGAGCAACAACUAUGGGUUCUGAGGAAUUUACUCUUAUUG